UAUACAGUUUGAAAUGCACACAUUAGCAACGGCUGAAAUCAUCACACUAAUAAGCAUCCACCUGAAGAAGUUACAAGAAGAAUAGCAAAAUACACCUUAGAAAACAAACAGAAGGAACAAAAAAGCAGAAUUCAUCACAUAGAAAACGAACCAUGCAACAGCAUCAGACCCAAAAUUUCUUUGACAAGUCAAAACGAGCAAGUUUAAGAAAAAGAGAUGACAUGAAUAACCUAUACUGGGAAAGAAAAGUGGUGCAGAACUGGAUUCUAGAGACACUGAAGGUUACUUACCACUACAGAAUGCUUCUGGCAUUUUUGGAAAAGAAAGGAUUCAAAAAGGAUCAAGAAAGGGAGAAAUAAAUUAAACAGCAGCAACCAGCUUCAAAGUAAAGUCUUAUCACACAGCACAUCUUUUCAAGGUAGCAGGACCGGAAGACUAUUCAAUGAGACUGGCAAAGAUUAAAACCCAGGACAGCAUUCUGAUGGCAAGACUGUGGGGAAAGAUGCACCCUCCUACUCUGCUGGCAGAGCUGCAAAAUGGUCCAGCCAUUCGGGAGGGAAAUCCGGCAAUCUUAACAAACAACAUAUGCACUUACCUUUCGACCAAGUAAUCCCACUUCUGCUAAUCUAACCUGAA
This is a long non-coding RNA of Suricata suricatta (meerkat), 636 nucleotides long. RefSeq lists it as uncharacterized. The record is from RefSeq and is a predicted model, not a curated record. The transcript has 3 exons. NCBI's taxonomy places the organism in Eukaryota, Metazoa, Chordata, Mammalia, Carnivora, Herpestidae.